AGUGAACGCUGGCGGCAGGCCUAAUACAUGCAAGUCGAACGGCAGCACAGUGGAGCUUGCCCCAUGGUGGCGAGUGGCGGACGGGUGAGGAAUACAUGGGAAUCUGCCCAGUCGUGGGGGAUAACGUAUGGAAACGUACGCUAAUACCGCAUGCGCCCUUCGGGGGAAAGUCGGGGACCGCAAGGCCUGACGCGAUUGGAUGAGCCCAUGUUCGAUUAGCUAGUUGGCGGGUAACGGCCCACCAAGGCGACGAUCGAUAGCUGGUCUGAGAGGAUGAUCAGCCACACUGGAACUGAGACACGGUCCAGACUCCUACGGGAGCAGCAGUAGGGAAUAUUGGACAAUGGGCGCAAGCCUGAUCCAGCCAUGCCGCGUGAGUGAAGAAGGCCCUACGGGUU
This 398-nucleotide ribosomal RNA is filed under the name uncultured bacterium. RNAcentral's name for it is "bacterial SSU rRNA". It matches the Rfam family "Bacterial small subunit ribosomal RNA", at positions 29 to 424 of the family's 1533-position model. The record is from RNAcentral.